Molecule: small nucleolar RNA, 121 nt
Filed under: Echinops telfairi (small Madagascar hedgehog)
Lineage: Eukaryota; Metazoa; Chordata; Mammalia; Afrosoricida; Tenrecidae
Description: Small nucleolar RNA SNORA61 (ENSETEG00000024779.1)
Source: RNAcentral
AUCCUCCUGAUUUUUUACCCAUCAGACCUACAUACUGGCCAGAGUGAUUAUAAAAGGAGAAAACAUAAAAUUGAAACUGACUUAAAUUAUUUUGUGAUAUAUCAGCUAGUUGCGUACACAC